Molecule: ribosomal RNA, 497 nt
Filed under: uncultured bacterium
Lineage: Bacteria
Description: partial 16S ribosomal RNA
Rfam family: Bacterial small subunit ribosomal RNA
Source: RNAcentral
GAUGAACGCUGGCGGCGUGCCUAAUACAUGCAAGUCGAGCGAACAGACGAGGAGCUUGCUCCUCUGACGUUAGCGGCGGACGGGUGAGUAACACGUGGAUAACCUACCUAUAAGACUGGGAUAACUUCGGGAAACCGUAGCUAAUACCGGAUAAUAUAUUGAACCGCAUGGUUCAAUAGUGAAAGACGGUUUUGCUGUCACUUAUAGAUGGAUCCGCGCCGCAUUAGCUAGUUGGUAAGGUAACGGCUUACCAAGGCAACGAUGCGUAGCCGACCUGAGAGGGUGAACGGCCACACUGGAACUGAGACACAGUCCAGACUCCGACAGGAGGCAGCGGUAGGGAAUCUACCGCAAUGGGCGAAAGCCUGACGAAGCAACGCCGCGUGAGUGAUGAAGGUCUUCGGAUCGUAAAACUCUGUUAUUAGGGAAGAACAAAUGUGUAAGUAACUAUGCACGUCUUGACGGUACCUAAUCAGAAAGCCACGGCUAACUACGUG